This 229-nucleotide ribosomal RNA is filed under the name uncultured bacterium. Its description in RNAcentral is "partial 16S ribosomal RNA". It matches the Rfam family "Bacterial small subunit ribosomal RNA", at positions 568 to 796 of the family's 1533-position model. The record is from RNAcentral.
UGCGUAGGCGGUUAGAUAAGUCAGAGGUGAAAGCCCACAGCUCAACUGUGGAAUUGCCUUUGAUACUGUUUAACUUGAAUCAGGUUGAGGUUGGCGGAAUGUGACAUGUAGCGGUGAAAUGCAUAGAUAUGUCAUAGAACACCAAUUGCGAAGGCAGCUAACUAGACCUGUAUUGACGCUGAGGCACGAAAGCGUGGGGAGCGAACAGGAUUAGAUACCCUGGUAGUCC